Molecule: ribosomal RNA, 440 nt
Filed under: uncultured bacterium
Lineage: Bacteria
Description: partial 16S ribosomal RNA
Rfam family: Bacterial small subunit ribosomal RNA
Source: RNAcentral
CCUACGGGUGGCAGCAGUAGGGAAUAUUGCUCAAUGGGGGAAACCCUGAAGCAGCAACGCCGCGUGGAGGAUGAAGGUUUUCUGAUUGUAAACUCCUUUUUUUAGAGAAGAUAAUUACGGUAUCUAACGAAUAAUCACCGGCUCACUCCGUUCCAGCAGCCGCGGGAAUACGGCGGGUGCAGGCGUUACUCGGAAUUACUGGGCGUAAAGCGCGCGUAGGCGGGAUAGCAAGUCAGAGGUGAAAUCCUAUGGCUUAACCAUAGAACUGCAUUUGAAACUGUUGGUCUUGAGUAUGGGAGAGGUAGGUGGAAUUCUUGGUGUAGGGGUAAAAUCCGUAGAGAUCAAGCGGAAUACUCAUUGCGAAGGCGACCUGCUAGAACAUAACUGACGCUGAUGCGCGAAAGCGUGGGGAGCAAACAGGAUUAGAUACCCUAGUAGUC